Molecule: ribosomal RNA, 253 nt
Filed under: uncultured bacterium
Lineage: Bacteria
Description: partial 16S ribosomal RNA
Rfam family: Bacterial small subunit ribosomal RNA
Source: RNAcentral
UACGUAGGGGGCAAGCGUUGUCCGGAUUUAUUGGGCGUAAAGAGCGUGUAGGCGGCCAGGUAGGUCCGCUGUGAAAACUCGAGGCUUAACCUCGAGAUGUCGGUGGAAACCAUCUGGCUAGAGUCCGGAAGAGGAGAGUGGAAUUCCUGGUGUAGCGGUGAAAUGCGCAGAUAUCAAGAGGAACACCUGAGGUGAAGACGGGUUGCUGGGCUGACACUGACGCUGAGGCGCGAAAGCUAGGGUAGCAAACGGG